CGGGAAAUCAAACUCCUAGCCCCGGAGCCUAAGUUCGCGCGCAAGCGAGGAUAAGGUUCCCUGGCCGUGGCCGAUGGUCACCAGGGUGCAGGGUAGAAAUGCCCGCAUCUCCCGUAUUUGGAAAGGUGUUUAUGGUGAGUCAAC
Molecule: non-coding RNA, 144 nt
Filed under: Dickeya dadantii 3937
Lineage: Bacteria; Pseudomonadati; Pseudomonadota; Gammaproteobacteria; Enterobacterales; Pectobacteriaceae
Also listed under: 1 other name
Description: Molybdenum/Tungsten riboswitch aptamer (Moco RNA motif)
Rfam family: Molybdenum/Tungsten riboswitch aptamer (Moco RNA motif)
Source: Rfam by way of RNAcentral